AGUGGAUGGGGAGCAACCUAGUUGUGCGUGUGUAAAGGUAGUGCCAAGAAAAGCGAUGAUCAUGUUGAAAAUCAAUUCCCGGUACCCGAAACCGACACAGGUGGGCAAGUAGAGAAUACUAAGGGGCGCGAGGUAACUCUCUCCAAGGAACUCGGCAAAAUGACACCGUAACUUAGGGAGAAGGGGUGCCACCGAGAGGUGGUCGCAGUGAAGAGGCCCAGGCGACUGUUUAGCAAAAACAUAGGUCUCUGCAAACUCGAAAGAGGAGGUAUAGGGGCUGACGCCUGCCCAGUGCCGGAAGGUUAAAGAAGUUGGUCAGUCUUAGGAUGAAGCUAGCGACUGAAGCCCCGGUGAACGGCGGCCGUAACUAUAACGGUCCUAAGGUAGCGAAAUUCCUUGUCGGGUAAGUUCCGACCCGCACGAAAGGCGUAACGAUCUGGGCGCUGUCUCGGAGAGAGGCUCGGCGAAAUAGGAUUGUCUGUGAAGAUACGGACUACCUGCAUUUGGACAGAAAGACCCUAUGAAGCUUUACUAUAGCUUGGAAUUGUGUUCGGGCUUCCUGUGCGCAGGAUAGGUGGGAGGCGUAGAAGGUAUUCUUGUGGGGAUACUGGAGCCAACGGUGAGAUACCACUCUCAGGAGGCUAGAAUUCUAACUUAAUUAAGGACAGUUUCAGGUGGGUAGUUUGACUGGGGCGGUCGCCUCCAAAAAGGUAACGGAGGCGUACAAAGGUUCCCUCAGACUGGAUGGAAAUCAGUCGAAGAGUGCAAAGGCAGAAGGGAGCUUGACUGCGAGAAGUACAGUUCGAGCAGGGUGGAAACACGGUCUUAGUGAUCCGACGGUGCUGUGUGGAAGGGCCGUCGCUCAACGGAUAAAAGUUACUCUAGGAUAACAGGCUGAUCUCCCCCAAGAGUUCACAUCGACGGGGAGGUUUGGCACCUCGAUGUCGGCUCAUCGCAACCUGGGGCGGAAGUACGUCCCAAGGGUUGGGCUGUUCGCCCAUUAAAGCGGUACGUGAGCUGGGUUCAGAACGUCGUGAGACAGUUCGGUCCAUAUCCGAUGUAGGCGUGAGAAUAUUGAGAGGAGCCUUCCUUAGUACGAGAGGACCGGGAAGGACGCACCGCUGGUGUACCUGUUAUGAUGCCAAUUGUAAACGCAGGGUAGCCAAGUGCGGAGAGGAUAACCGCUGAAAGCAUCUAAGUGGGAAGCCCACCUCAAGAUGAGUAUUCUGGUGUAAGGUCACGGGAAGACGACCCGUAAAUAGGCACGAGGUGGAAGUGCAGAGAUGUAUGAAGCCGAAGUGUACUAAUAGACCGUCGGCUUGAGC
RNAcentral lists this ribosomal RNA (1325 nucleotides) under metagenome. Its description in RNAcentral is "bacterial LSU rRNA". It matches the Rfam family "Bacterial large subunit ribosomal RNA", at positions 1561 to 2925 of the family's 2925-position model. The record is from RNAcentral.